UUGUAUUAAAGAUUAAUUGUUUUAUAAUAUACAAGAGAUUGUAUAUUGUGAGACCAUUUAUUUUUGGUAUAAGAAGGUUACAAUCAUCUUUGUCUAUUAGAUGUGAAAUCCAAUAAAUUGCAAUUGUGUUACAAUAUUUAUUUUAGACUUUGUGCGCAAUUAAUGACACAUCUUUAACCAACUGAUUUUACAUUCAGUAGUCACUAAUGAUUGUGAUCGGCAUGUAUCAAAAGUAAAUUGUUUCAUUGUAUACAAUUUCUAAUAUACAAUCCCUUAUUGAAAUGAGAGUUGAUUUCAUGUCACAUAUCAUUAUAGUAUAAUAAAACCACACGCUUAGAAAGACCUCAAAAACUGUACACACUCUCUCUUCAUCUCAAUAAUUAAUUUUUAAAAAACAAAUUUCAAUUUGCACCCUAGAUUUGGUUAAAAUGAAUCCUCCUUCAACAAUGUAUCAAG
RNAcentral lists this long non-coding RNA (456 nucleotides) under Amborella trichopoda. RNAcentral's name for it is "long non-coding RNA (ATRI_LNC002248)". The record is from RNAcentral. Lineage: Eukaryota; Viridiplantae; Streptophyta; Magnoliopsida; Amborellales; Amborellaceae.